RNAcentral lists this long non-coding RNA (755 nucleotides) under Macaca mulatta (Rhesus monkey). Its description in RNAcentral is "lncRNA (ENSMMUG00000064054.1)". Lineage: Eukaryota; Metazoa; Chordata; Mammalia; Primates; Cercopithecidae. The record is from RNAcentral.
ACUUCUUACCGGGAGAAACUGCAAAAUCAAUGCAAAGAGCAUGAACAUAGAAAUCUGACAUCUCAGUAUGGCAUAACAACUUGUAACUUUAAACAACUACAGGAGGAUAAGAACACUUUCCUUUGUGAAGAAGCAAGCUGUCAUAAAUGCUACAACACACAACAAAGUUAAUUCUGCCAACAACCUGCAUGAGCUUGGGAGAAGCUUCUUCCCCACUUGAGCCUCAAGAUGAGAAUGCAGCCUUUGUGGACACCUGGAUUGCAGCUUUGUGAGACCCUGAAGCAAAAAACUCAAGCCAUGCCUGGACUCCUCACCCACUGAAACUGUGAGAUAAUUGUUGAUAAACAUUUAUCUUCUUUGUUGAUUCAAUAAAUCAUUUGUUGAAUAUAAUCCAUGGAGCUGUCAAUGUGCUAGUAGCUGGCCACAGACAAAUUGCCUCAAUCACUGUCCCAGAAAUCCUUAUGGUAAGUUGAGAAGCAGAAUAACAGCAGGGUACCUUGGGCUGUGCUGGAUAAAAUUGUUCUGCUUUCCACUGUGAGGGCUGCAAUAGACCCAAAUGAACUUAAAUGAGACAGACCAUAGCUUCAGUUCUUCAAAGGAGAUUCUGAGAGGCCCUGUAUUUCUACAAUAGUUUGAUGAGGGUGGAUGUCAGUAAGACGUGAGGGAUAAACUGUCUUCUUACUCCAGAUCCACAAUGUAGUUGAAGACAGCUUUCCAAUAAUAGUGUUGAAUUUGUCAGAAUACAUUGUGAUGCU